UGUCAAGAAAUUAGCAAAUCGAUUCUAUCUGUAAAGUAUUUCCAUCCUCUGCACCAGCUCAGUCGGCAGAGCAUUGGACUCUAAAUCGGUUGCCGGUUUCAUUCUGGGUGGUAACACAACUCUCUGUUCCCCACUUCUCCGCCUCUUUAUACGUCAGUAAUGUAGAAACCCAAGAAAUGUGUCAAGUAACUGUCCUUAAAUAAUUAUUCUGACUGUUAAAACGGCAUAAAACCCGAAGAAUCAAAUCGCUUUUUUUCAGGUUAAUGGUCCACUCAAGAACAGAUUCAGUUCUCUUGCCGUGAAGCUGGGCUUUGUAAACCGAAGUUUUACUGUUCAGAGAGCCGAAUUUCCGAUCGUUUUGCGACAUGCUCUAGAGCAGACUACACCAGCAUCCGUGAGAGUGGCAUUUGCCGUAACUGGGAUAGUACCCUUUAACCCAAAAGCCAUUGACACCAGUCAGCUCGUGCCACCAACGUUCAAAAAAACAAAUCCUCAAAAUGGAAACAAAGAGAACACUAAUGUUCGUUCAUGCGAAACCUGUGGCUCAUUCCUAGUAAACCCUCUUGUGGACCAAGGACUUAUUCCUGAGAGGAUGGCCGAUGUUUUGAUGCCGCCGCCAAUGCCUCCAAUGAAGUCAGGAAAGAAGGCAUCCAGGCGAGUUCCAGAGGGUAGGGUGAUCAGCGGAGAUGAAAUGCUGAAGCUGUUGAAGGAGAAGGAAGAUGCAGCGAGGAGAGAGAAGGAAGAGAAGGAG
This is a long non-coding RNA of Mercenaria mercenaria, 751 nucleotides long. RefSeq lists it as uncharacterized. The transcript has 3 exons. NCBI's taxonomy places the organism in Eukaryota, Metazoa, Mollusca, Bivalvia, Venerida, Veneridae. The record is from RefSeq and is a predicted model, not a curated record.